Molecule: ribosomal RNA, 119 nt
Organism: Pteropus vampyrus (large flying fox)
Lineage: Eukaryota; Metazoa; Chordata; Mammalia; Chiroptera; Pteropodidae
Source: Ensembl
GUCCGCGGCCGGGCCACCCUGCGGAAGCCCGAGCCCGUCUGAUCUCAGAAGCUACGCAGGGUCGGGUCUGGUUAGUACUUGGAUGGGAGACCGCCUGGGAAAACCAGGUGCUGUAGACG